Molecule: ribosomal RNA, 440 nt
Filed under: uncultured bacterium
Lineage: Bacteria
Description: partial 16S ribosomal RNA
Rfam family: Bacterial small subunit ribosomal RNA
Source: RNAcentral
CCUACGGGAGGCAGCAGUGGGGGAUAUUGCACAAUGGGGGAAACCCUGAUGCAGCGACGCCGCGUGGGUGAAGAAGCGCCUCGGCGCGUAAAGCCCUGUCAGCAGGGAAGAAAAUGACGGGACCUGAAGAAGAAGCCCCGGCUAACUACGUGCCAGCAGCCGCGGUAAUACGUAGGGGGCAAGCGUUAUCCGGAUUUACUGGGUGUAAAGGGGUCGCAGCCGGCGAUGCAAGCCAGGAGUGAAAGCCCGGGGCCCAACCCCGGGACUGCUCUUGAAACUGCGUGGCUAGAGUGCAGGAGGGGCAGGCGGAAUGCCUGGUGUAGCGGUGAAAUGCGUAGAUAUCAGGCGGAACACCGGUGGCGAAGGCGGCCUGCUGGACUGCAACUGACGUUGAGGCCCGAAAGCGUGGGGAGCAAACAGGAUUAGAUACCCGUGUAGUC